This is a non-coding RNA of Bos taurus (domestic cattle), 72 nucleotides long. Lineage: Eukaryota; Metazoa; Chordata; Mammalia; Artiodactyla; Bovidae. The record is from Rfam.
UCCCUAGUGGCUCAGAUGGUAAAGAAUCUGCCUGCAAUGCAGGAGACCCGGGUUCAGUCCCUGGCUCAGGAA